This 466-nucleotide ribosomal RNA is filed under the name uncultured bacterium. RNAcentral's name for it is "bacterial SSU rRNA". It matches the Rfam family "Bacterial small subunit ribosomal RNA", at positions 331 to 795 of the family's 1533-position model. The record is from RNAcentral.
CCAGACUCCUACGGGAGGCAGCAGUGAGGAAUAUUGGUCAAUGGGCGCAAGCCUGAACCAGCCAAGUCGCGUGAGGGAAGACGGUCCUAUGGAUUGUAAACCUCUUUUGUCGGGGAGCAAAGCGCGGUACGAGUACCGCGAAGGAGAGUACCCGAAGAAAAAGCAUCGGCUAACUCCGUGCCAGCAGCCGCGGUAAUACGGAGGAUGCGAGCGUUAUCCGGAUUUAUUGGGUUUAAAGGGUGCGUAGGCGGGCUGUUAAGUCAGCGGUCAAAUGUCGGGGCUCAACCCCGGCCGGCCGUUGAAACUGGUUUUCUAGAGUUGGAGAGAAGUAUGCGGAAUUCGUGGUGUAGCGGUGAAAUGCAUAGAUAUCACGAAGAACUCCGAUUGCGAAGGCAGCAUACCGGCUCCAUACUGACGCUGAGGCACGAAAGCGUGGGGAUCGAACAGGAUUAGAUACCCCCGUAUC